AUUACUGAAGCUUGUGAAUUGUUCAAGACUAUUGAGCUGCCUGCAUCUUCAAAAGACAUAUCUGAGCAUGAUAUCGCUACGUACCUGGUGGGACGAUAUGGUAUCAACAAGAUAGCACGGAUAUGUUCCGUGCUUUCUGGAUUUCCGAAGACACUAAACACCUUCCAUGUAUCCAAGUACAUAGCAAAAGUCACAGAUAUGGAUGAUGCACACUUGCUAGCCUCUUUCAUUACGAUUCAUUGUCCACACCUAAUAGCCACAUUCACAUCUAACCAUCCAUCACCAACUCUGUUAGCUCCUCCAGUGUGUAACUGCUUUGAAUGCCAACGUCAAUUGACUUCAAAUCAUGACUGUGAAGUCACCCUUUACACAUUAUCUGGUGUGAAGAAAUUGCCGAAAGUCACUCUUAUAGGUGUCAGCCAUGUGGUUUGACUUAUAACUAUGCGAUGUGGGGGAGAAAACAAACCUCUGGCUUUCAAUACUAUCAGAGCCAGCAAAAUUUAAUUGAAGUUUAUGACACCGUUUUCUUCACUCGGCCUCUCCUAGAAUUUCAGUGCUCCCUUGCGAACCACUCAUGGGUUUCCUUCCAGGGUUUUAGUGAAACAUACAAUGACACUCAUUCUCUCAACAAGGACCAAUGUUUUAUGCUAUAAUUAUAAUUAUAUUAAUGUAUAUAAAUUCAAUUAUAUACACAUGGCUUGCAUCCGCAUUAAUUUUACUUCUUGUUAAUUCAGCCAUGACAGAAAAGAUUGCAGCAGAUGCAUUCUACAAUGGAGAGAUUGAGAAUGAAAUUAGGUUUCUUGUACUAGCAACCAAUCCUACUUUUUCCCUAAGUCAUUUCACCUUCAAACGAGACAGUGACAGAGAGGAAACAAUGGAAAUGAUUGAAACAAUUUGCUCAUGCAGUAUAUAUACCCUCACUGUGA
Halichondria panicea is the source of this 926-nucleotide long non-coding RNA. RefSeq lists it as uncharacterized. The transcript is spliced from 3 exons. The record is from RefSeq and is a predicted model, not a curated record. Lineage: Eukaryota; Metazoa; Porifera; Demospongiae; Suberitida; Halichondriidae.